AUGAGGCUACAGGCUGCUGCGCGCGGCCUCUUAGCGCGUCGGCUUGUGCGGGAGAUGCGUGGUCUGCAGCUGCCGCUCCUCCAAGUUGCCCUUCGCCGCACAAACGACCUCGAUCUCGUCCGCUGCUUCAGGGAUCUUGGGCAUGCGGUUUCCCCCACGGGCGGCGGGCAUGUUGUUUUCCCCGCGGGCAGUGACAUCAAAGUCUGCGACACCGGGGGUUGGGGGGACGCAUCCCUCCUCGUCAUUCUCCAUCGCAAGCCCUCCACUCUUCCCUGUGCAGUGCAGACCAACAGCCGUCCGGCGGGGAGAAGGCAGGGUGUCACCGAUAGGAGCGCACCGCAUAGCACCACUGCUUACCGCCGCCGGUCGCCGCAAGGGCGCUUCUGCUGGUCGCUCUUGCGACCAUUUCCAGGUGGCCAUACACAUCCACUCCUUUGGUCCAUGUGGUGUCCAUGGGAUCCAGGUGGCUGUACAUGUGCACGUCCGACGUGCGGAUGGUGUCUACUUUUUGUUGAGGGGUCCAAAAUAAAGCGUCCAAGUCCAUUUCAAAUUGAGAGUAAUAAAACAAGUCGAGAUGUAAAAGACUUGUUUUUAGGUGUUAGGUUUGUGUUGCAUCAAGUCAUGAUUAUAAAUUGGUUAGGCUGCAGCUCGAGGACAAGUUGCAUGUCCAGGUGGGGUGUAGUGUUAGAGUACGUAAUGGCCUAA
RNAcentral lists this ribosomal RNA (705 nucleotides) under Triticum aestivum (bread wheat). RNAcentral's name for it is "partial small subunit ribosomal RNA". Lineage: Eukaryota; Viridiplantae; Streptophyta; Magnoliopsida; Poales; Poaceae. The record is from RNAcentral.